This is a long non-coding RNA of Strigops habroptila (Kakapo), 102 nucleotides long. RefSeq lists it as uncharacterized. NCBI's taxonomy places the organism in Eukaryota, Metazoa, Chordata, Aves, Psittaciformes, Psittacidae. The transcript is spliced from 3 exons. The record is from RefSeq and is a predicted model, not a curated record.
UCCCCUCCUCCCUGGCAGAGCAUGAGACUGAGAAAGUCCUUGGUCAGAGUAAACAUUACUGCAACAACUAAAAACAUCAGUGUUAUCAGUGUUGUUCCCAGG